CCUUGUACACACCGCCCGUCACACCAUGGGAGUCGAUUGCUCCAGAAGUCAUCUCACCAAGAGGUGCCCAAGGAGUGCUCGGUAACUGGGGUG
Molecule: ribosomal RNA, 93 nt
Filed under: uncultured bacterium
Lineage: Bacteria
Description: partial 16S ribosomal RNA
Rfam family: Bacterial small subunit ribosomal RNA
Source: RNAcentral